AGUGAACGCUGGCGGUAGGCCUAACACAUGCAAGUCGAACGGCAGCACAGUAAGAGCUUGCUCUUACGGGUGGCGAGUGGCGGACGGGUGAGGAAUACAUCGGAAUCUACUUUUUCGUGGGGGAUAACGUAGGGAAACUUACGCUAAUACCGCAUACGACCUACGGGUGAAAGCAGGGGAUCUUCGGACCUUGCGCGAUUGAAUGAGCCGAUGUCGGAUUAGCUAGUUGGCGGGGUAAAGGCCCACCAAGGCGACGAUCCGUAGCUGGUCUGAGAGGAUGAUCAGCCACACUGGAACUGAGACACGGUCCAGACUCCUACGGGAGGCAGCAGUGGGGAAUAUUGGACAAUGGGCGCAAGCCUGAUCCAGCCAUACCGCGUGGGGGAAGAAGGCCUUCGGGUUGUAAAGCCCUUUUGUUGGGAAAGAAAAGCAGCAGGUUAAUACCCCGCUGUUCUGACGGUACCCAAAGAAUAAGCACCGGCUAACUUCGUGC
RNAcentral lists this ribosomal RNA (493 nucleotides) under uncultured bacterium. Its description in RNAcentral is "partial 16S ribosomal RNA". It matches the Rfam family "Bacterial small subunit ribosomal RNA", at positions 29 to 508 of the family's 1533-position model. The record is from RNAcentral.